Long non-coding RNA from Leopardus geoffroyi (Geoffroy's cat), 387 nucleotides. RefSeq lists it as uncharacterized. The record is from RefSeq and is a predicted model, not a curated record. Lineage: Eukaryota; Metazoa; Chordata; Mammalia; Carnivora; Felidae. The transcript has 2 exons.
GAUGCUUCUAGAACAAGGCUGCUUUUCCCACCCAAGGCUCGCUCUCCAGGCUCUUGGACACUUUGCUGGAUUGCAAUCAUUGCAUCAGGUAGAACAGACAGCCUGAAGUCAAAUCCAAAGUUUCAUCAGAUCCUGUGGAGGAUCACAGAUUGGCAAAAUGCUGCCCAGGUGAAUCAGAGGUAGACCCCAGGAAGGAAGAAAGGGUGGGAGAGAAACUGCCCUGGGGUCGAAGAGCUCCCUAACAGAACUUCGAAGCCGUGGAAACCACACGUAUUGGGCCCGAUCACGAAGGAACAGGUAGUAGUGAGCUGAACACUCACUGAAACAUUUUCUCGAGCUUGAAAUCAAUUGGUAGUGAUUUAUUUUUUAAUGAACUCACAAGAAAGA